Molecule: ribosomal RNA, 497 nt
Filed under: uncultured bacterium
Lineage: Bacteria
Description: partial 16S ribosomal RNA
Rfam family: Bacterial small subunit ribosomal RNA
Source: RNAcentral
GACGAACGCUGGCGGCGUGCCUAAUACAUGCAAGUUGAGCGCUGAAGGUUGGUACUUGUACCAACUGGAUGAGCAGCGAACGGGUGGGUAACGCGUGGGGAAUCUGCCUUUGAGCGGGGGACAACAUUUGGAAACGAAUGCUAAUACCGCAUAAAAACUUUAAACACAAGUUUUAAGUUUGAAAGAUGCAAUUGCAUCACUCAAAGAUGAUCCCGCGUUGUAUUAGCUAGUUGGUGAGGUAAAGGCUCACCAAGGCGAUGAUACAUAGCCGACCUGAGAGGGUGAUCGGCCACAUUGGGACUGAGACCCGGCCCAAACUCCUACGGGAGGCAGCAGUAGGGAAUCUUCGGCAAUGGACGAAAGUCUGACCGAGCAACGCCGCGUGAGUGAAGAAGGGUUUCGGAUCGUAAAACUCUGUUGGUAGAGAAGAACGUUGGUGAGAGUGGAAAGCUCAUCAAGUGACGGUAACUACCCAGAAAGGGACGGCUAACUACGUG